AGAAGAGUCCAGAGGCCUGAGGAAGUUUUGGAUAUACCCAUUUGAGUGGAGCUUUGAUGGUUGAUAAGAGGCCGCCAAGUAGAGGAGGUGGGAUGGAUACUCAAGUAGAAUGAACGGAAUGAACAGCUAGUACCCCAGCACAGACCAGGACAAAAAAAGAAAAAAAAAAAACAAAUUCUGUGGAACUGUGUCAACUCUGACCACUUCAGGAUAUUCUUCAAGUGUAAUAACUGAUGCCUGCUCUGUGCCAAGUGAUAGUCUAGGUGUUUAAAUUGUGUUAGUCCAUUUAAUCUUCAAAAUAAACCUAUGAGGUUAGUUCUGUUAUUAUUCCCAUUUUACGUUGUGGAAUCUGAGACACCAAGAAAUUAAAGAACUUUCCUAAGUCCACAUGUAGCAUGUAGUAGAAUAAGGCCAUCUGACCCCAGAGGCUGUGUGCCACAUCACCAUGUUAUAUUGCCUUCUACCAUGUUCUUCCAAGAGCUUGUUGAAUGGGAAGUGUUUAUUUAUGCGGCUUCCUUUUACAGGCAUGUUAUUCCAAGUGUCUGUUGAGGAACCAGAAGUAUUUAUUCAUGCACCUUCCUUUUGCAGGCAACCAAUGUGCUUUGGUAAUCAUAAACCGCUAUAUUUUAAUAGCACUUCACAAACUCCCCUGGGGAGAAAAGGAACAGGCUGACCCAAAACGGAAGAGGAACCCUAAAAGGUGGAAGGAAGAAGGCUGAAAACAAGCUUCACUCUGAAUUUAGUUAUAGAGCAGAAUACCCUGUUGGGACGGGAAGUGAUGAAGGCCAUCAUGCUUCAUUAAAUCUAGAAGGGCAGAUUGUGCCCAAAAUCAUGGAAUGCAAGAUUCAGACAAAACUGUGUCUCAUUCACUGAGAUUAAAGUGCCAGCUUUUAGAAAAGGAAGACAAAAGAUCCUACCAGGGUUCAGAUGAAAGAAUUGAAGCGAAAAAUGUCAAGCAGCCUGCCCAAAGCCACAUGACUGGGCAGUGACAAAGCAUUGCCUCAAACCCCAUCUCCUGUGAGUCCAACUGUCUCUCCACUUCCUUAAAGCACCUGUGUGGGAAGCAUGAGUUGAAUCAUCAUCCUUGUCAACAAUAUCCUUGAGUUUGGCAUUAUCAUUGGUGUCAGAGACAGAGUUUUUUUCAGUCUCUCAUUUGUGAUUCCACAACCUAAGGGAAAACCGGGAGAAAGCUCAAGAUGGCCACCCAUCUUACCAGACGGAAGAGGGAAAUGGUGUUUCCGGUAAUGUUGUAGUGGGUCAGAACCUCAGAACUGGUGCUGAUUCCAAAUGACACAUCUUGGAAUUUCUGCACCAUGCUGCGAAAUACAGACACUGCUGGUAUUUCCAGAUUCUAAAAACCAGAGAAAAAAUAAAAGCACAGAGGUUGUUGUGGAGGGGAGAGACACAAACAGAAACAGAAUAGGGGAGAGAAAUGUGCUCGCUCAUACCAGAAAGCACAGACUUGAUUUGGUGUUCAGUGAAACAACACUUACAUCUCUAUUGCAGGCUAAAUUUGCAGUGGCAUUCCUGAAUUUUCCAGGCUGUGUGAAUUAAUAUAUAAGUACCAAAAUAGCGGCCAAGCCUGGGACUCCUGUCUGAGUUUACCAUAGAACUUGCAGUUCACCAGUAGCUGAGAGGGACCUCAAAGUCAAGAGGCCUGGAGAAUUGGACUGCACUGUCACUGAUGUGCCUAAGGUGGCAGAUUUUUGGGGAGCAAGUUGUAGUGGAAUGAAGAAAUGCAAAAAUAAGAAACAGGGGCUGUCAAAAAGGGCCAUAAAAGGAAGGAUAAACAAAAUGAAGAAAUGGAAGCUUAAAGUCUUAUUAACAAGGGUUUGUUUGGGAUGUGCAGGAAUAGUCUCUUUUUUUUCUACUGUACAUAAAUCUGAGGGAUCAUCCAUGGACAUACUGUUCACCCAUUGCCCAGACUCAACAACCCAGGCUUGUCAGAAGGAGCAGGGAAUCCACUUUUGCAUGGUGAUUUCAGUCCUUAUGGAGGAGCUGGGCAUCAUUGUCCCUGCUGUAACAGGAACUUUGCCCACAGCUGUAGGCAAUAAGUGGGAGGGAACAUAUUCUUUCCUGACAUCUCUCUGGGCUGAAGCAGAAGAUAUGCCAAGAGGAAAGAAGAUGGCUAGCCUUGCAUCAGAGUCCCUGAGUUGUGCAAAUAGUUAAUGUGCUCAGCUGCUAACCAAAAGCUUGAAUAUUUGAGUCCAUCCAGAGGUGCCUCAGAUGAAAGGCCUGGCUCUCUGCUUCCAAAAAAUCAGCCAGCGAAAACCCUGUGGAACACAGUUCUACUCUGACACGUAUGGGGUUGCCAGGUGUCGGAACUGACUCCUUGAAAACUGUUAAAAAGUCUUGUGUCCAAGGUGAAGCAGGCUUCCUUGCUCAUCUAAAAGCAAGGAGUGUGUGGAGUUCGUUUGAGGCUAUGAACAAUUGUUAAUCAAGGCUUCCUUUUUUUUUUUUUUUAUUCUGUUCUUUCAAAUGGAAUUGUUCACGGAUCAAAUGAUGGCAUCUGGUGGCUAUUUAAAUUAUUGCAGACUCGUCCUAUCACACCUUCUUGCCUUUCAGAGGGUGGUUGUUUUGUCUAUGGCUCAGAUGGCUCAUCACUGAAAAAUGUGCUCCCAGUCUCCCUACCCAACUUGCAUCUCAAAGCAGCUAUUUCCAGCUGUGUACACAGAAUCAAUGGCGGAUGGUGAGCUGGAAUUAAUGAAUAGAAACAGACAAGGACUUCAAUGAGGGAAUAUGGGCUUGAUCAGCUGAGAGAAGGACUGCCAGAUGCUACCAUAAGGGAAAGCAGAAUAUGAGGAAAUGACACUCUGUCUUCAUAGUUGCCCUUAUUAACCGUGCAGCCAGUCUGGGAGAUGGAGGAUAGUACCUUCAAUAUAUAAAAUGUCAUCCUUUUUCAACAUUUCAGAGCAAGCAAAAAGAAAAAGGGACAACCUAUUUGGCAGGAGACUGCUGGCUAAUGCUUGAGAGGCUUUGGCACACCAUGAGAAGUGUUGCCUGAAUGAUAAAAGUUGGCUCACCCUGGCAUAUCCAGAUACUGAUUUAAGCUUCAAAAAAAUCCAUAGAUGAGGAGCCUCAAGUAUCAGCCUCAGAGGUCUUGAAGAAAGUACAAAAAAGACAAUCCAGAAACUGAGAAUGUCCUUAAAUAGAGAGGACUUCAUUGGCAAGCCAAAAGCGGCUCUGUGCUAAUGUACCUUUGCCCAGCUGCUUCUAAUGAGGCACCAUCUGGUCAGCAAGUGACUGUCAAUGCUCCCUUGAGAUAGAACAUUCUAGCUGUUUGAGGGACUAGCAAGUGGGGCAUCUGGACAAACCUGGAAGAAGCCUAUGAUGGCCACCUCAGCAGCAGCGAUGAAUUCCUCAGCAGCUGGGACAUCUGUGAGCCACGCAGGCUCUUGGGAAGCACUGGGGCCAUCUAGAGAGAGAAAAAAGAGUGAAGGAGAAGCAGAAGGUACCAGAGUGCUGAGGGGAAAAGAAACAGGUCUAAGUAAUGAGGAGCCAGUGCCUUUCUCCCCCAUCCUAAGGCCAAGGAGAUCAGUUUCUAAGGGUGCAGCUAUCCCUCCAUGCUUUUGUGUUUUGCUAACGUAUGGAGGUUCGCCUGUCUCUGAAGGGUAAUUCCAGUCUUCCCUCCUUUCCACUAGGCAAUGUAGGUCUUUAUUUAGCAUUUCCUGGAAUAUUUUCUAGUUUGGGAGCAAAAAUGUCCAGAGUACUGCCAUCUUCCUCCCCUCCCCGCUUCUCCUAACAGCACUCUCACCCAGUGGUCACCCAACUGCUAUUUUCUCUUACCUGAGGAUUCCUGAACUUCUGCAGCAACUUUUGGAGGCAGCCCACAGGUGAGGAGAAAUAAGAGAAACAGGCAAGUGGACUGGGCAGCCUCCAUGUCCUUCUCCUGCUCCUUCCUCAAGCCCUGGACUUUGUGUUUGGGACUCGGGGCAGCCACUCUGUAGUUAAUUGGCCUUGAUGUUGUUCGUGCUCUGGGAACUUUGCAGCUGACUCUAGGGGAAACUUCAACUUCUGAGAUAAAAGACCAAGUUCAGUGACAGGGCCUCAGGAUAUAACCAACCAUAUGAAAGUCGAGCCAGCUCAUUUAAAUGGAAACCUUUUCAGUAUCAUAUGCCAAGUAUUGACCUAAGCACUAGGGAUACUAAGAUAACUAUGAUCUGAUAUAGCCUCUCCCAGCGUAGAUUUUUAGUGGAAGAGGCAGACAAACAAACAGAUUAUGUAAUUAUAAAAUGUAAAGACGUAAAAAAUACAGAAGCUCAUAGAGUGCUAUGAGACAACGGACAAAAUGCAUUUAGGAGAAUUGUGGGGUUUAGUGAACGCUUUCUUCCUACAGGGGAUACCCAAGCAGAGUUCCAGGGAAAUAAGAUUUUUCCAGGCAACAAAAGGUGGAAGGGAGUUUUACGUGAAGAGCCUAGCCAAAGCUUAGAGAUGCCAAUGUAACCUGUGAGAGAAUUCUACGUGAUUCAGCAUUACAAAAAGGAAGGGAACGGUGAAAGGUACCAGAAAGGCACCCUGGGGCCAGAUCACAGCAGGCCUUGUAUGCUAAGCAUAGGAGCUUCAACUUCAUUUUGUAGGUUAAGGGAACCUACUGAGAAGUCUGAAGCAGGAGAGAGACAAUAUGUGAUUUGGCCCACAGGUGCAUGUGGAAAAUCUAAGACAAGAUUCCCUGUAGGUAGUGGAAUUUAUAGGUUUCAAACUUAGGAGAAACCUCUCCAUGAUAACACUGAAAAAAAAAGAAAAUGAGAUUUUCCGCCAUUCAUAUCCUGAAUGCUCACUGCCCAUUGCACUGGAAAGGGGGACUGAUAUGUUCUCAACAAUGAAACUCCCUCUUCUACUGUGUUUCCCCCACUCUCAACCCCUCUAGGGGACUCAUGAAUGUGAACCAUCCAGUUACCAUGUUUGAAGGCAGAGAGCAGAGAAAUGAGGGUCUCAGUCAGAAUAUAUACUUAUUGUUUUAUUCUUACUGUCUUGUGCUGUUUACAGUGUCUCCCACAAAAGAAGAGCCCUGACUGACAGAGAACAUGAUUAGGGACCUUCCUUGAGCCAGCAGCAACCACAAAAGAAUGCAGGGAUGGGAAGGAGCCGCUGGAACCUAAGGCAAAAGGGUUGUUAGUGAGUUUGUCCAUUUCCUGGCCUCUAGUUGCUCGAAUGGAAACCCUGGUGGUGUAGUGGUUAAGUGCCACAGCCGCUAACCAAAAAAACGUGGAGAGUUUGAAUCCACCAGGUGCUCCUUGGAAACCCCAUGGGGUAGUUCUGCUCUGUCCUAUAGGGUCACUAUGAGUCAGAAUUGACUCAGUGGCACUGGGUUUGAUUUUUUGGUUUUAGUUGCUCUAAUGGGAUUAAGAAAGGAGAACAUUAAAUGUGUACUGAGAUGGAGAACUUUGGGCAGGGUUUAAGCCUGGGUUUUAAGCCUCUUGUGCUAGGGAGUGCUUUGUGAGGUGGUGUGGGAUAAGAUGCUUCAAUAAGAUAAUAAGGGGAGCAUUGGGAAAGGGCCCAGCUGUGAACCAUGAGGAGG
Molecule: long non-coding RNA, 5518 nt
Organism: Loxodonta africana (African savanna elephant)
Lineage: Eukaryota; Metazoa; Chordata; Mammalia; Proboscidea; Elephantidae
Exons: 2
Source: RefSeq, a predicted model, not a curated record